AAGUUCAAUGGAAAUCAUAAGCAUUGACGAGGCAUUCAUAACUAUGGAUACGCAUGUUACUCUUGGCAAGGAUUUACUUAACACAAUCGUGACUAGCGACUUUUACUACUUAUGAAUAUAAGUUAAUAACGAUUAGGUGAAAUUCUCUUAUACUCUAGCAUCAAAAUUCAUGCAUGCAAACUAAGUGUCGACCCUCAACCAACAUACAUAAACAUGUUAUCAAUCAAAUAGAUAAGUAAACCACAUUCACGAUUUAUGAAAUCAUA
Molecule: long non-coding RNA, 266 nt
Filed under: Malus domestica (apple)
Lineage: Eukaryota; Viridiplantae; Streptophyta; Magnoliopsida; Rosales; Rosaceae
Description: long non-coding RNA (MDOM_LNC000300)
Source: RNAcentral